CUGUGCGUUUAGGGAGUUUGGGAUUAUUUCCCAAUUGGUCCCCUUCUUUUGCAUGCAUUCCAUUUGGGUCCCUAUUCCCAAUUCCUUUUUUUAUUUUUUUAUUUACGAUUUGUGUCCUUAAUUUUGUUUUGAUUCGUAUUUAAACCUGAUUUGUUUGGUUUUAUUGUUUGUUUAUAUUUUUUAUAUAUAUACUUAGACUUAAUAAUAAUAAUAAUAACAUUAAUACGCUUAUUUAUUUGCUCAUUCCUUGUUUAGUUUUUUUUAAUAUUUGGAUUCAAUAUUAUUUAUAUUCAACUUAUUAAUUUAUC
This 308-nucleotide long non-coding RNA is filed under the name Gossypium raimondii (Peruvian cotton). Its description in RNAcentral is "long non-coding RNA (GRAI_LNC008292)". Lineage: Eukaryota; Viridiplantae; Streptophyta; Magnoliopsida; Malvales; Malvaceae. The record is from RNAcentral.